GUAGUCCACGCCGUAAACUAUGGAUGCUAGCUGUUAGAAGUAUCGACCCUUCUAGUAGCGAAGCUAACGCGUUAAGCAUCCCGCCUGUGGAGUACGGUCGCAAGACUAAAACAUAAAGGAAUUGACGGGGACCCGCACAAGCGGUGGAGCGUGUUGUUUAAUUCGAUGGUAAGCGAAGAACCUUACCCAGGUUUGACAUCCUUGGAAUUUUGCCGAAAGGCGAGAGUGCUUUAUUGAGCCAAGUGACAGGUGAUGCAUGGCCGUCGUCAGCUCGUGUCGUGAGAUGUUUGGUUAAGUCCAUCAACGAGCGCAACCCUUAUAGUUAGUUGAAUUUUUCUAGCUAGACUGCCCUGGUAACAGGGA
RNAcentral lists this ribosomal RNA (363 nucleotides) under uncultured bacterium. RNAcentral's name for it is "bacterial SSU rRNA". It matches the Rfam family "Bacterial small subunit ribosomal RNA", at positions 790 to 1167 of the family's 1533-position model. The record is from RNAcentral.